UUGGAGGGCAAGUCUGGUGCCAGCAGCCGCGGUAAUUCCAGCUCCAAUAGCGUAUAUUAAAGUUGUUGCAGUUAAAAAGCUCGUAGUUGAAUUUCGGGGUUCAUACGUUGGUCGGGCUUUUUGGUCUGUACUAGCGUAAUGGAUUCCUACCUUCUGAAUAACCGGCAUGUCAUUAAUUUGGUGCGCCGGGGAAGCAGGACUGUUACCUUGAAAAAAUUAGAGUGCUUAAAGCAGGCUAUCGCCUGAAUACAUUAGCAUGGAAUAAUGAAAUAGGACGGCAUGGUUCUAUUUUGUUGGUUUCUAGGAUCACCGUAAUGAUUAAUAGGGAUAGUUGGGGGCAUUAGUAUUCAAUUGUCAGAGGUGAAAUUCUUGGAUUUAUUGAAGACUAACUUCUGCGAAAGCAUUUGCCAAGGAUGUUUUCAUUAAUCAAGAACGAAAGUUAGGGGAUCGAAGACGAUCAGAUACCGUCGUAGUCUUAACCAUAAACUAUGCCGACUAGGGAUCGGAUGAUGUUAAUUUUUUAAUGACUCAUUCGGCGCCUUACGGGAAAC
Molecule: ribosomal RNA, 551 nt
Filed under: uncultured Acaulospora
Lineage: Eukaryota; Fungi; Glomeromycota; Glomeromycetes; Diversisporales; Acaulosporaceae
Description: SSU rRNA
Rfam family: Eukaryotic small subunit ribosomal RNA
Source: RNAcentral